UCGAACGAGGAGGCUUUUGUCUUCGGACGGGAGAAUUCCUAGUGGCGAACGGGUGAGUAACGCGUUGGUGACCUGCCCCAAAGAAGGGGAUAACAGCUCGAAAGGACUGCUAAUACCCUAUGUGAUCAGUUGGAUUAGACGCCUACUGAUUAAAGGAGUAAUCCACUUUGGGAGGGACCUGCGUCCCAUCAGCUAGUUGGUAGGGUAACGGCCUACCAAGGCAAUGACGGGUAGGGGACCUGAGAGGGUGACCCCCCACAAUGGCACUGAAACACGGGCCAUACACCUGCGGGUGGCAGCAGUAGGGAAUAUUGGACAAUGGGCGAAAGCCUGAUCCAGCAACACCGCGUGCACGAUGACGGCCUUCGGGUUGUAAAGUGCUUUUAGAGGAGAUGAGAAAGGACAGUAUCCUCUGAAUAAGCCUCGGCGGACUACGUGCCAGCAGCCGCGGUAAAACGUAGGAGGCAAGCGUUAUCCGGAUUUAUUGGGCGUAAAGCGUGUGCAGGCGGUCUAGCAAGUUGGAUGUGAAAUCUCCCGGCUUAACUGGGAGAGGUCGUUCAAUACUGCUAGACUAGAGAAUGGGAGAGGGAGGUGGAAUUCCGGGGUGUAGUGGUGAAAUGCGUAGAUAUCCGGAGGAACACCAGUGGCGAAAGCGGCCUCCUAGACCAUUUCUGACGCUAAGACACGAAAGCUAGGGUAGCAAACGGGAUUAGAGACCCCGGUAGUCCUAGCUGUAAACGAUGUAGACUUGGUGUUGGCGGAGUUAAAUCUGCCAGUACCGUAGCUAACGCGAUAAGUCUACCGCCUGGGGACUGCGAUCGCAAGAUUAAAACUCAAGGAAUUGACGGGGACCCGCACAAGCA
Molecule: ribosomal RNA, 863 nt
Filed under: uncultured bacterium
Lineage: Bacteria
Description: bacterial SSU rRNA
Rfam family: Bacterial small subunit ribosomal RNA
Source: RNAcentral